UCCAAAUCUGAACCCGACUAUCAAAUAUGAAUUUGAAUUCAAAUCCGACGGAUUUUAAAAAUUCAUAUCCAAACCCGAACCCGAUCAAAAUCCAAAACCCAAAUGCAAAUCCGAACUCAAAAACCUGAACCCACAACAAUUAUUUCUCCUUACCAUAUUUUCAAAACAUAUUACAUUAAAUCUAUUUUUUUAAAGUUAAAGUUAAAUAUAACAUCGAACAUUUAUAUAUAUAUAUAUAAUUUGGGUUCGGGUCAAGCACAGACAAAAUUCAUAUCCGAAUUCAAAUCCGUCGGAUUUUCAUUUUUUAUGUCCAUAUCCAAAACUAUAUCCAUUUACCAUCAGAUAAAUCCAUUCCCUUCAAAUUCGGGUUCCGGUUCAGGUUUGAAUAAAAUUUUGAGUAUCCGUAACCAUUGACAUCCGUAGCUACGACU
RNAcentral lists this long non-coding RNA (431 nucleotides) under Ananas comosus (pineapple). RNAcentral describes it as "long non-coding RNA (ACOM_LNC002942)". Lineage: Eukaryota; Viridiplantae; Streptophyta; Magnoliopsida; Poales; Bromeliaceae. The record is from RNAcentral.